RNAcentral lists this ribosomal RNA (468 nucleotides) under uncultured bacterium. RNAcentral describes it as "partial 16S ribosomal RNA". It matches the Rfam family "Bacterial small subunit ribosomal RNA", at positions 28 to 507 of the family's 1533-position model. The record is from RNAcentral.
GACGAACGCUGGCGGCGUGCUUAACACAUGCAAGUCGAACGGAAAGGCCCUGCUUUUGUGGGGUGCUCGAGUGGCGAACGGGUGAGUAACACGUGAGUAACCUGCCCUUGACUUUGGGAUAACUUCAGGAAACUGGGGCUAAUACCGGAUAGGAGCUCCUGCUGCAUGGUGGGGGUUGGAAAGUUUCGGCGGUUGGGGAUGGACUCGCGGCUUAUCAGCUUGUUGGUGGGGUAGUGGCUUACCAAGGCUUUGACGGGUAGCCGGCCUGAGAGGGUGACCGGCCACAUUGGGACUGAGAUACGGCGCAGAAGCCUACGGGAGGCAGCAGUGGGGAAUAUGGCACAAUGGGCGGAAGCCUGAUGCAGCAACGCCGCGUGCGGGAUGACGGCCUUCGGGUUGUAAACCGCUUUCGCCUGUGACGAAGCGUGAGUGACGGUAAUGGGUAAAGAAGCACCGGCUAACUACGUG